Molecule: long non-coding RNA, 647 nt
Organism: Amblyraja radiata (thorny skate)
Lineage: Eukaryota; Metazoa; Chordata; Chondrichthyes; Rajiformes; Rajidae
Exons: 2
Source: RefSeq, a predicted model, not a curated record
GAAACAGAAAGAGGGAGAGGGAGGGAGGGUCGGUCUGACGGCGCAGGCUCCCAAACUUCUCAAGUGAGUAGCCAGUCCUGUGUGUGUGUUUUUUUGUUUAUAUCUUUUUUUUGUGCCAAUUCUGCCUUAGUGAUUAACAAAACUAAAACAAAAUAAACUACCCCGGAGCCCCUCGGGGGUGAAUUUCUGACAUCUGCACCUUUCGCCACACGGGCGGGCAGGUAUGGAGUUACCGAGAGACGGAAGCGUUGGUUACAGUGGACGAGCGAGAGUGGUUGUGUUCUAGAGACUGGCUGCCGCAAAUCUCACGGUGGCGUUUUCACCAAGGCAUCAGGAGGACCUUUGGUCGCGGGUCAAGGCUUCUGCAGGUAGAGUGUCAUCGACGAGUACAACAUGACAGCACGUUGCUCGGGGGGGGGGGAGGGAGGGAGGGGAGCAUUACUGCCCUCCCUUUCACCAGCAUCUCAUCAGGAAUAACACUUGGCUUCUCUGCCACAGAUGGAGGCUGAAUUAGCCAGGAAUGACAACUUGCGUAGCAGUGAUCUGCAAGUGGCUCAACCAGACUGAAAUGCAAUACAAAUCACAUGCGGUUGAGCGACUGAAUAUUGGAUGAAGAGAGCAGCACAUUUUCAUAAACGAUGCAACAA